RNAcentral lists this ribosomal RNA (371 nucleotides) under uncultured organism. Its description in RNAcentral is "partial 16S ribosomal RNA". It matches the Rfam family "Bacterial small subunit ribosomal RNA", at positions 527 to 896 of the family's 1533-position model. The record is from RNAcentral.
AGAGGGUGCAAACGUUGCUCGGAUUUACUGGGCGUAAAGCGCGUGUAGGCGGACUCGCGAGUCGGUUGUGAAAUCCCUGGGCUCAACCUAGGAACUGCAUCCGAAACUGCUUGUCUUGAGUAAUGGAGAGGGUGGCGGAAUUCCCGGUGUAGAGGUGAAAUUCGUAGAUAUCGGGAGGAACAUCAGUGGCGAAGGCGGCCACCUGGACAUUUACUGACGCUGAGACGCGAAAGCGUGGGGAGCAAACAGGGAUUAGAUACCCUGGUAGUCCACGCCGUAAACGAUGAGCACUAGGUGCAGCGGAUAUUGACCUCUGCUGUGCCGUAGCUAACGCGUUAAGUGCUCCGCCUGGGAGUACGGCCGCAAGGCUA